UCCUCAAUUGAUUAUUUGAGGUAUGACCUGCUCAAUGCAAGAAUGUAAAUAGCCGCAGUACUCUGACUGUGCGAAGGUAGCAUAAUAAGUUGGCCUUUAAUUGGGGUCUGGAAUGAAUGGUUUGACAAGGAUUUAACUGUCUUAAAGUAAAGUUUUUUUGAAAUUGAAUUGUUUGUAAAAAUGCAAACAUAAGAAAGAGGGACGAAAAGACCCUAUAGAUCUUUAAAGAGUUAUUCGAAAAAAGUUUGGAUAGGCUUUUUUUAUUUGGGGAAAAUCCUGAAAUAAACAUAAAAAAUCAAACUUCGGUUAAAAUGUUUUUAUAAAAAUUUUAAUGAUUGAUUUUCGAUCCACAAGGAGUGAAAAAAUGAAAAAGUUACCUUAGGGAUAACAGGACAAUGAUCUUUGAAGAGGCCUUAUCUUUAAAGACGUUUGUUACCUCGAUGUUGAAUUAAGUUAUCUUAUUAAAGAAGAAGUUCUUAGAGUUGGUCUGUUCGACCAUUAAAAAC
RNAcentral lists this ribosomal RNA (506 nucleotides) under Coloceras sp. JDW-2010. Its description in RNAcentral is "partial 16S ribosomal RNA". It matches the Rfam family "Bacterial large subunit ribosomal RNA", at positions 1832 to 2595 of the family's 2925-position model. The record is from RNAcentral. Lineage: Eukaryota; Metazoa; Arthropoda; Insecta; Psocodea; Philopteridae.